UGAAUACGAGACGCUAAGGCGUCGAAGUAGUGUAUGUCAUACUUCCAAGAAAAGCUUGCACUGUCAUAGAUAAAAAACGCCUGUACCAUAACCGACACAGGUGGGUAGGUAGAGUAUACUAAGGGGCGCGAUAUAACUCUCUCUAAGGAACUCGGCAAAAUAACUCCGUAACUUCGGGAGAAGGAGUGCCUUAUUCUUAAGGUUGCAAUAACAAGAUCCAAGCAACUGUUUAUCAAAAACACAGGUCUCCGCUAAGUCGUAAGACGAUGUAUGGGGGCUGACGCCUGCCCAGUGCCAGAAGGUUAAAGAAGCUGGUUAGCAUUUGCGAAGCUAGUAACUGAAGCCCUGGUGAACGGCGGCCGUAACUAUAACGGUCCUAAGGUAGCGAAAUUCCUUGUCGGGUAAGUUCCGACCCGCACGAAAGGCGUAAUGAUUUGGAUACUGUCUCGGAGAGGGGCUCGGUGAAAUAGACUUGUCUGUGAAGAUGCGGACUACCUGCACCAGGACAGAAAGACCCUAUGAAGCUUUACUGUAACUUGAAAUUGAAAUUGGACUUUAUUCGCGCAGUAUAGGUGGGAGGCGUUGAUUAUAAUCUUGCGGGAUUAUUGGAGCCAUUAGUGAGAUACCACUCUUGUAAUGUUAGAUUUCUAACUUUGAAUCAUUAUCUGGUCAAAGAACAGUUUCAGGCGGGCAGUUUGACUGGGGCGGUCGCCUCCUAAACGGUAACGGAGGCGUACAAAGGUUUCCUCUGAACGGUUAGAAAUCGUAUCUAGAGUGUGAAGGCAUAAGGAAGCUUGACUGUGAGACCUACAAGUCGAGCAGGGACGAAAGUCGGUCUUAGUGAUCUGACGGUACUGAGUGGAAAGGCCGUCACUCAACGGAUAAAAGUUACUCUAGGAUAACAGGCUGAUCUCCCCCAAGAGUUCACAUCGACGGGGAGGUUUGGCACCUCGAUGUCGGCUCAUCGCAUCCUGGGGCGGUAGUACGUCCCAAGGGUUGGGCUGUUCGCCCAUGAAAGCGGUACGCGAGCUGGGUUCAGAACGUCGUGAGACAGUUCGGUCCAUAUCCGGUGUAGGCGUUAGAAUAUUGAGAGGAGCCUUCUUUAGUACGAGAGGACCGAGAAGGACAUACCUCUGGUGUACCAGUUAUCGUGCCAACGGUAAACGCUGGGUAGCUAUGUAUGGAGUGGAUAACCGCUGAAAGCAUCUAAGUGGGAAGCCCACCUCAAGAUAAGUAUUCUCA
Molecule: ribosomal RNA, 1242 nt
Filed under: metagenome
Description: bacterial LSU rRNA
Rfam family: Bacterial large subunit ribosomal RNA
Source: RNAcentral